Molecule: long non-coding RNA, 1120 nt
Organism: Haliaeetus leucocephalus (bald eagle)
Lineage: Eukaryota; Metazoa; Chordata; Aves; Accipitriformes; Accipitridae
Exons: 7
Source: RefSeq, a predicted model, not a curated record
CACUGCAGCUCCCAGGGAAACAGCACAGGUCUCGUGCGGUCCAGGCUGCUCACCCAUGCCUGCUCAAGACCAAACCGCCCGGGCUGAGGACCCUGAUGAAGCUGUGACCAUACUAGCUGCUUCCCCUGUCUCCUGCUGAAGGCCUCUGGCCCCCCAUUCGGCUGCAUGUAAAAGCAUCUCUCAGCCAAGAAAGGAAGAGACAGUGUCCUCCUGCUGCUCUUCGUUUGUGGUGUAUCUAUCUGCGGGACAUACAGAACUUGGUCUAGACAGGCUGGCUAAUUUAAAAGCCUUGGAAAUAGGAUCCUAUAAGGAGUUGUACAGGAGAAAGCGCUAGCGCUGCUGUGAGUCUUAUUCCACUGUGGUCAAGUUAUUUCUAGUGCAUAGUGUGAAAGACAAAUCAGGAAGUUUUAGAUACCAUCUUUUGAAGAGCAUGAAACUGGAUUCAGUACAGCUGCCUGUAGAAAGCUUUGUCUUCCAAUAACAAAGUGUUGGAGUGACUUCAAGAGCUGAUAUAUCUAGAGCUGGCCAGCCUGUGCCUUGGAGAUGUGUGCAGCUGUUGAGUGUUUCAGGGGUGCCUCUCACGUUGGGACAUCAUAUACAAAGGUCUCUGUGCUCACCAGGGCUGCUAGGUAGUCUGGUCUCGCUGUGGGUGGAAGUGAGAUAGAUUGCUACACCAGCAUUUCUGAGAUGCCCAAACCAUCUUGCUGUGGAGACAUAGGGUCCGGUCAGCCUCUCCUGCCUGGACUUCCCCCACCUCUCAGCUCACUGAGAAGUACCAAUUUAACUGAUGCAUGGAUUUGCAACCAGCAGUUCAGCAGCUGCUUCAUGAGCCAUCCUUGCAGGAGGGGAACCUCAGAGAGACUUUCUGCUUGAAUGCAGCUGAUUUCAAGUUGAUAUGAAUGAACUUAGAAAGUCCAUUUUGGAGAUUUUUUCCUGGGACCUUGUGGAAUAAAACUGCCCCUCUCCUCAAAUGAAAACCUAACUUCACUGCCUGAGAUUCCUUUAACUAGAAAGAUAUGACAAGUGGUGGUAUCGGACUGCAGUGAAGUCCCACCUGUGCUAUUCUACCCUUAAUGAGUGAGCCGUGCUGACGCUGUGCAGUUGUCAUCCAUGUGCCCUU